UUGACAACCCUGAAGAAUGGAGUCUGCUCAUCCCCGGAACAGGUACAACACAGGCAAAACCACUGCAUUUAUUUCCACAUUGCCCUCCCAAUACAUCACAGCUGUUGCUCGAAGAGAGUACUUCUAGGAGUGAAACAACAGUUUAAUCUCCAUGUCCAUUCAAUUUCUGCCCUCU
Unclassified non-coding RNA from Anser brachyrhynchus (Pink-footed goose), 175 nucleotides. The record is from Ensembl. NCBI's taxonomy places the organism in Eukaryota, Metazoa, Chordata, Aves, Anseriformes, Anatidae.